This 264-nucleotide ribosomal RNA is filed under the name uncultured bacterium. Its description in RNAcentral is "partial 16S ribosomal RNA". It matches the Rfam family "Bacterial small subunit ribosomal RNA", at positions 793 to 1055 of the family's 1533-position model. The record is from RNAcentral.
GUCCACGCCCUAAACGAUGUCGACUAGUCGUUCGGAGCAGCAAUGCACUGAGUGACGCAGCUAACGCGUGAAGUCGACCGCCUGGGGAGUACGGCCGCAAGGUUAAAACUCAAAGGAAUUGACGGGGACCCGCACAAGCGGUGGAUGAUGUGGAUUAAUUCGAUGCAACGCGAAAAACCUUACCUACCCUUGACAUGCCAGGAACCUUGCUGAGAGGCGAGGGUGCCUUCGGGAGCCUGGACACAGGUGCUGCAUGGCUGUCGU